This is a long non-coding RNA of Rosa chinensis, 1322 nucleotides long. RefSeq lists it as uncharacterized. The transcript has 3 exons. The record is from RefSeq and is a predicted model, not a curated record. NCBI's taxonomy places the organism in Eukaryota, Viridiplantae, Streptophyta, Magnoliopsida, Rosales, Rosaceae.
ACAUCUUGGAACAGGCUGCCUGUGGUUCCUUUGUUUGAAACUGUAACGGACUUGAGAGGAGCUGGCUCAAUGAUCAGGAAAUUAUUAUCCAUUGAUUGGUACAGGGAGCACAUCAUCAAGAACCAUAAUGGGUAUCAAGAGGGCGUUUUACUGCUGCCUGGGAACUUUACAAAGCUCAAGAGGAUGUUAUAGCUGCAUGCAAUGAGUAUGAUAUCAAAGUUACCCUGUUUCAUGGGAGAGGAGGAAGUAUUGGUCGUGGAGGGGGCCCUACAUAUCUUGCCAUUCAGUCCCAGCCGCCUGGCUCUGUGAUGGGUACUCUAUGAUCAACUGAGCAAAAAGAAAUGGUACAGGCAAAUAUUUGGGCUGCCGGAGAUUGCUGUCAGACAGCUAGCUAGAGAUAUACACAACAGCUGUGCUGCUUGCAACGUUGCGUCCACCACACCCUUCUCGAGAACAAAAGUGGGGUAACCUCAUGGAGGAGAUCUCAAAGAUCAGUUGUCAGAAUUACAGGAGUGGUCUACGAAAAUCCAGAAUUCCUUACUUCCAGGAGGCUACACCCCGGGCUGAGCUUGUCUUCCUCAACAUAGGAAGCUGGCCCUCAAGAGGAAAGAGCUCUACUGGAAUUGGACAUUUUCGGGCAAUUCCAUGGGUGUUUGCAUGGACUCAAACCAGAUUUGUUCUUCCAGCUUGGCUUGGAGUUGAACCAGGUUUGAGGGGUUUGUGGGAAGGGACACACUGAAGACUUGAAAGCAGAACAUUAUGAGGUCCACCCAUUGAGUAUUGAAACCCAAUUUUAUCAUAAUCUUCUUCAGGAAAUCCCAUUCCAAUUUGUCAUAAGCCUCACUUAUAUCAAGUUUCAGAGCCAUAAAACCUUCUUGUCCUCUAGGCAGCCUGUGCAUAUAGUGAGCUAGCUCCGAAGCCACGAGAGUGCUGUCUGAAAUCAAACGAUCCGGGACAAACGCACUCUGCUGUGGGCAAAUAAUGUUCGAGAGAAAAACUUUAAGCCUGUUAGCUAGCACCUUGGAGGCUAUUUUAUAAGUAACAUUGCAGAGGGCUAUUGGUCGCAGUUGGAACAUGUGCUUAACCUCUUUCACCUUUGGGAUGAGCACCACAUGCGUAAACUUCAAAUCAUGAGGCAUCUCUUAAUUAAUCAGAAAGAAAAUCACUGCCCUACUCACCUCUGAACCAACUAAGUCCCAAUACUUCUGGAAGAAGAAAGGAAUUGUACUAAACCAUAUGAGUCUAUGGUCUGGUACACAGGUUAUGAGUAAAACAUGCAAGUUUUGUAUCUUGUGGAAUUAAGGUUACCGUAAGAAUUUAAC